GACGAACGCUGGCGGCGUGCUUAACACAUGCAAGUCGAACGGAAAGGCCCUGCUUUUGUGGGGUGCUCGAGUGGCGAACGGGUGAGUAACACGUGAGUAACCUGCCCUUGACUUUGGGAUAACUUCAGGAAACUGGGGCUAAUACCGGAUCGGAGCUCCUGCUGCAUGGUGGGGGUUGGAACGUUUCGGCGGUUGGGGAUGGACUCGCGGCUUAUCAGCUUGUUGGUGGGGUAGUGGCUUACCAAGGCUUUGACGGGUAGCCGGCCUGGGAGGGUGACCGGCGACAUUGGGACUGAGAUACGGCCCAGACGCCUACGGUAGACAGCAGGGGGGAAUAUUGCACAAUGAGCGGAAGCCUGAUGCAGCAACGCCGCGUUCGGAAUGACGGCCUGCUGGGUAUAAACCGCUUUCGCCUGUGACGAAGCGUUAGUGACGGUAAUGGGUAAAGAAGCACCGGCUAACUACGUG
RNAcentral lists this ribosomal RNA (468 nucleotides) under uncultured bacterium. RNAcentral describes it as "partial 16S ribosomal RNA". It matches the Rfam family "Bacterial small subunit ribosomal RNA", at positions 28 to 507 of the family's 1533-position model. The record is from RNAcentral.